AUUGAACGCUGGCGGCAUGCUUUACACAUGCAAGUCGAGCGGCAGCGCGGGGGCAACCCUGGCGGCGAGCGGCGAACGGGUGAGUAAUGCAUCGGAACGUAUCCUUGAGUGGGGGAUAACCCAGCGAAAGUUGGGCUAAUACCGCAUGAGCUCUGAGGAGGAAAGCGGGGGACCUGCAAGGGCCUCGCGCUGGAGGAGCGGCCGAUGUCCGAUUAGCUAGUUGGUGGGGUAAAGGCUUACCAAGGCGACGAUCGGUAGCUGGUCUGAGAGGAUGAUCAGCCACACUGGGACUGAGACACGGCCCAGACUCCUACGGGAGGCAGCAGUGGGGAAUUUUGGACAAUGGGGGCAACCCUGAUCCAGCCAUGCCGCGUGAGUGAAGAAGGCCUUCGGGUUGUAAAGCUCUUUCGGACGGAACGAAAUGGGCGGGACUAAUACUCCUGUCCGAUGACGGUACCGUAAGAAGAAGCACCGGCUAACUACGUGC
RNAcentral lists this ribosomal RNA (487 nucleotides) under uncultured bacterium. RNAcentral's name for it is "bacterial SSU rRNA". It matches the Rfam family "Bacterial small subunit ribosomal RNA", at positions 29 to 508 of the family's 1533-position model. The record is from RNAcentral.